UUAGUCGAAACCAAAAUAGAGGUAUAUUACUGUUAAUAAUAUUAUUGAAUAGAAUUCCGAUUAAG
This 65-nucleotide transfer RNA is filed under the name Ischnoptera deropeltiformis. Its description in RNAcentral is "tRNA-Asn". The record is from RNAcentral. Lineage: Eukaryota; Metazoa; Arthropoda; Insecta; Blattodea; Blattellidae.